RNAcentral lists this ribosomal RNA (253 nucleotides) under uncultured bacterium. Its description in RNAcentral is "partial 16S ribosomal RNA". It matches the Rfam family "Bacterial small subunit ribosomal RNA", at positions 524 to 776 of the family's 1533-position model. The record is from RNAcentral.
UACGUAGGGUGCGAGCGUUAAUCGGAAUUACUGGGCGUAAAGCGUGCGCAGGCGGUUUUGUAAGCCGGAUGUGAAAGCCCCGGGCUUAACCUGGGAAUGGCAUUUGGGACUGCAAGGCUUGAGUGCGGCAGAGGAGACUGGAAUUCCCGGUGUAGCAGUGAAAUGCGUAGAUAUCGGGAGGAACACCCGUAGCGAAGGCGGCACUCUGGGCCGAUACUGACACUGAGGAGCGAAAGCGUGGGGAGCGAACAGG